AGAUUAAGAGCAUGUCAAGAUAGCCAGGAUGACCUGCCUGCAACCAAAUGGAUAGGAUCCUUUUUUCUUUAAAAAAAUAAAAAUUUACAAAUGGAGUAGGCAAGUCAUCCUUGGCUGCUAAACAAUACUCUUAACU
This is a microRNA precursor of Nicotiana attenuata, 136 nucleotides long. The record is from Rfam. NCBI's taxonomy places the organism in Eukaryota, Viridiplantae, Streptophyta, Magnoliopsida, Solanales, Solanaceae.